UGACCUGCGGAGGUCAUUAUCAAAAUCCCGCUGUGUACCUCUCCUGUUGCUUCCGCGGCUCGGAGCAUGCUUUUUGGAUAAUUUUUGCGCUCCCAUGGUCAAGGAUAUCCACAUGCCUGGCRGGAGGAUAUGUGAACAAAACUUUCAGCAACGGAUCUCUUGGUUCUCGCAUCGAUGAAGAACGCAGCGAAAUGCGAUAAGUAGUGUGAAUUGCAGAAUUCAGUGAAUCAUCGAAUCUUUGAACGCACAUUGCGCCUUUCGGUAUUCCGGAGGGCAUGCCUGUUCGAAAGUAACAUAUUUAUUCAAGUGCUUGGUUGUGGUAGGCAACUUAUUAACCUCCCCACCAAAAUUGAGAGGCGGUCUGUCCCCACGGUGUUGUACUCAGACUUCUCGCUUGAACUGUGGGUGAACGGCUAAAAACCCCAAAGGUUGACCUCGGAUCAGGUAGGGAUACCCGCUGAACUUAAGCAUAUCAAUAA
RNAcentral lists this ribosomal RNA (479 nucleotides) under uncultured Ascomycota. Its description in RNAcentral is "eukaryotic LSU rRNA". The stretch from base 140 to 293 matches the Rfam family "5.8S ribosomal RNA". Lineage: Eukaryota; Fungi; Ascomycota. The record is from RNAcentral.